This 207-nucleotide ribosomal RNA is filed under the name uncultured bacterium. RNAcentral's name for it is "partial 16S ribosomal RNA". It matches the Rfam family "Bacterial small subunit ribosomal RNA", at positions 568 to 774 of the family's 1533-position model. The record is from RNAcentral.
CGCGUAGGCGGUUUCGGAAGUCAUGGGUGAAAGCCCCAGGCUCAACCUGGGAAUUGCCUGUGAAACCACGGAGCUGGAGUGCUGGAGAGGGAAGUGGAAUUCCCAGUGUAGCGGUGAAAUGCGUAGAUAUUGGGAGGAACAUCUGUGGCGAAGGCGGCUUCCUGGACAGACACUGACGCUGAGGCGCGAAAGCCAGGGGAGCAAACG